AGCUAUUCUUAGGUACGUCAUUAUCUUCCCUAAUAAAAGGAGUUUACACACCGAAAUGCGUCAUCCUCCACGCGGCGUUGCUGCAUCAGAGUUUCCUCCAUUGUGCAAUAUUCCUCACUGCUGCCUCCCGUAGGA
RNAcentral lists this ribosomal RNA (135 nucleotides) under uncultured bacterium. Its description in RNAcentral is "partial 16S ribosomal RNA". The record is from RNAcentral.